GACGAACGCUGGCGGCGUGCUUAACACAUGCAAGUCGAACGCUGGUAGCAAUAUCAGAGUGGCGCACGGGUGAGUAACACGUAGCUUACCUACCUCAAAGCGCGGGAUAACGUUCCGAAAGGAAUGCUAAUACCGCAUAAGCUCCCGGUCUGUAGAGGGCUGAGAGAAAAGGGGCAACUCACUUUGAGAUGGGGCGUGCGGCCCAUCAGCUGGUUGGUGAGGUAACGGCUUACCAAGGCAACGACGGGUAGGGGACCUGAGAGGGUGACCCC
RNAcentral lists this ribosomal RNA (272 nucleotides) under uncultured bacterium. RNAcentral describes it as "partial 16S ribosomal RNA". It matches the Rfam family "Bacterial small subunit ribosomal RNA", at positions 28 to 307 of the family's 1533-position model. The record is from RNAcentral.